Molecule: long non-coding RNA, 3088 nt
Organism: Pan troglodytes (chimpanzee)
Lineage: Eukaryota; Metazoa; Chordata; Mammalia; Primates; Hominidae
Exons: 2
Source: RefSeq, a predicted model, not a curated record
GGGGAGGAGGAGAUGAAGCCUGCCUAUAGGUAUCUGUGCACUAGGGGAGGAGCUGGGGAGGAGGAGAUGAAGCCUGCCUAUAGGUAUCUGUGCACCACAGCAGGAGGUGAGGAGGAGGAGAUGAAGCUGAAAAGACAGAUUCCAGAGGGACAACAAGGCAUUUUCGAGGCCACAACCUCUGCAAGAGUGAGCUCUGAGACAAUGUGUAAAUACAGUAAUCAUCAUCAGCAUCAGUUAUUUUUAUGUGAGAACACAAAAUCCACUCUGCAUUUCCAAGCAUACAACACAUCAGCAGGUGUAAUUUGAUUCUUGAGAGGUGGGGCGCAUAUGGAUCCAUCCACAGAAGAGGCAGCUAUGAGCUGGACCCUGGGCAGGGCUCCUCACCUCACGGAGGAGCCAAAGGCAAGGCAAGCAGCGGGGCCCACCCCUCUCUGGGAGUCCCGGGGACCACACUGUAUGGUGGGGCAAAGGGGCACAAAGGCUGGCUGACCCGUCUAUGGGGCCAGUUCCCUCCAACACCUUCUCCUUGCUUUUCAUCUCAGGGGGAAAAAUUACUCCGUCACCCUGGAGUUAGGUAAGAAAGGGAAGUUUCCUCCUAACUGCCACUCCACUCUGAGAUCAUCAGGCAGAGCUGAUAUUUUAACAAGUAUGUACCAGUAAUGACCAUUCCAGUUGUUAAAAAACAACUGCUCUGUACCACCUGGUCAAUAGCCGCUGCCCUGAAACCCUUAAGUGGCCCUUCCUAAGCCUACCCCACAACACUUCCCAUGGCCUGGUCCCUUCCCCAGGAUCUCCCUGAAAUUCAGCAACUCAAAAGUUAAUGCAUGGCCCAGCAGGGGACGUCCAGGACCCAGCCUCCUCCAGACAGGAUUUGUUCUGAUUGGUCAGUGCCCAAGCCACACCAGUCGCUAAAUAUUUUGAAUGCAGCCCCUGCUAGGAGACCUCAAGCAACCUGAGAAGCCAGCACUAGGGACUGGAAGGAGGACCCUGUAGAUCUUGCUUGCCUGUUCCUUUCUGGAGCAGAAAGCUUUUGCUACUAGAAUGUUUCUCUUAGUUUUUCUACUAAGGGUCUUUCCGUAGAAGAUCUGGCCUGGAAACAAACACGGUAACACAAGAGUGGGGAAGAAAGCAACGAAAUACAACUCUCCGAGCUAAGAGCUACCCAACCGGCAGGAAAGCCUUGCCGGCUGCCCGGUUCCUGCCCUCCCGCCUCCACCUCCCUGGGGGCCCAGGGUCAACGCUUCCUCAAAUCAAAUUGCCUAACUGAAGAAACAAAGCCCCCAGGGCCAGCCAGCUGGGAAAACAAAGCAGGAGGCAUAGCAAUAUCUGCUGCCUUGGUUUUCUUUUCCAUAUCGGUACAGGUUCAGAGGCCGGGGGACAGAGGGUUGCACCAACACACACACGCAGGUACCCACGUGCACACAAGCAUGCGCAUGCACGCAGGUACCCACACACGCACAUGGGUACCAAUGCAUGCACACAGGUAUCUGCACACACACACAAGCACACACACAGGUACCCAUACGUGCAUAAGCACACACACGCAGGUACCCAUACGCACACAAGUACCUACACGCACACAAGCACACACACAAAGGUACUCACAUGCACACAAGCAUGCACAUCCACACAAGUACUCACACGAACACAAGCACACACACACAGUUACCCACAUGCACACAAGCGCACACACACAGGUACCCACACGCACACAGGUACUCACACGCACACAAGCACGUACAUGCACACACACGCAUACAAGCACGCAUAAGCACGCAAGCAGACACACUGAUAGUAUCCUAGAAAACAUGAAUUAGACUGCAAGGUUAUUCUCAGUGUACCUGGGAAACAUUUUUGCCAUCUGCGAGUCGGGCAAGGUAUUAUAAUUGUUGGCUGGUUUUCUGUGGUUUAACCUGUCAUCGUUUGUCUAGAAAUCCUGCCUGACCAGUACUUGGCCUGCCUGAUUGUGCAGAGACCCACCCUGAGAACAGCAGUCUAUCACAAAUGCCCAGGUUAGCACAAAAACUCACUAGCCAUCAGUCAUGCUACAAAGAUCACAGAGAGCGCCAUCUCCUAGCUCCCCCUUAAGUGCGGCAAUCUUUCCAAAACCCAGUCCCAUGAAGUCGGGACAGGAGGGAUGGCCACUUCCUUACCCGCUUGUUGUCCGCAGGGCUGUGGUAGAACUGGGCGAUCACAGCUUCACUCCUAUUUCCCACGCCAAAGUUUAACUUGUCUGAAAUUUUCUUGAAUGAUUUUCCGUAGUCGUAAGACACGUACACCUGGAAUACAGAGAAAAGGAGAUGAAAAAGAAAGAGUUGGUGAGAAACUGGCAGAAAGAUCUCUUUCUUUUUUUUUUUUUUUUUGAGACAGAGUUUCACUCUUUUUGCCCGGGCUGGAGUGCAAUGGCGCGAUCCCAGCUCACUGCAACAUCUGCCUCCCGGGUUCAAGCGAUUCUCUUGCCUCAGCCUCCCAAGUAGCUGGGAUUACAGGCACCUGCCACCACGCCCAGCUAAUUUUUUUUUGUAUUUUUAGUAGAGACAGGGUUUCACCAUGUUGGCCAGGAUGGUCUCGAUCUCUUGACCUUGUGAUCCGCCUGCCUUGGCCUCCCAAAGUGCUGGGAUUACAGGCAUGAGCCACCGUGCCCAGCCAGAAAGAUCUCUUUCAAACAUCCCAUCCUGGAUCCUGAACAUGGCUCCCAUUAGGUGCCUGAUAGGAAAUGACAGAUGUUACCAGAUAACACACAAAGGUGAGGCAGGGCACCUCUAUGUCUGUCCCCAAGCAUGUGGGGGCAGAAAGCAUGGGACCCCUGCAGUCCCCACUGCCUGGAAUACACAAGCCUCUUUUCUGAGGCCAAGGCAAGUCCCUGGAGCAGGAGACAAAUGAUAGAAACAGUAAUAACCUCCUCACCGGGGCUGAGUUCAGUGUUUAACAAAUUACAUCCAGAGGAGGGAGAAUGUGGCUAGCUGAGGGGAAUGGAACGGAGGAUUUGUUUUGCCAUCUGUUGAAUGGUUCCCAAAACGUAUCUAAUUCUUCAUUCUUCUGCUGGGAAGUUCUGUUUGUAUAGCAUUCCAUACAAAAGAGAAGAAAA